UGAGGAAUAUUGGUCAAUGGGCGGAAGCCUGAACCAGCCAAGUAGCGUGCAGGAUGACGGCCCUACGGGUUGUAAACUGCUUUUAUGCGGGGAUAAAGUUGCCCACGUGUGGGUUUUUGCAGGUACCGCAUGAAUAAGGACCGGCUAAUUCCGUGCCAGCAGCCGCGGUAAUACGGAAGGUCCGGGCGUUAUCCGGAUUUAUUGGGUUUAAAGGGAGCGCAGGCCGCCGUGCAAGCGUGCCGUGAAAAGCAGCGGCCCAACCGCUGCCCUGCGGCGCGAACUGCGUGGCUUGAGUGCGCCGGAAGCGGGCGGAAUUCGUGGUGUAGCGGUGAAAUGCUUAGAUAUCACGAAGAACCCCGAUUGCGAAGGCAGCCCGCUGUGGCGCCACUGACGCUGAGGCUCGAAGGUGCGGGUAUCGAACA
RNAcentral lists this ribosomal RNA (422 nucleotides) under uncultured bacterium. RNAcentral's name for it is "bacterial SSU rRNA". It matches the Rfam family "Bacterial small subunit ribosomal RNA", at positions 355 to 774 of the family's 1533-position model. The record is from RNAcentral.